RNAcentral lists this small RNA (190 nucleotides) under Pluralibacter gergoviae. RNAcentral's name for it is "Manganese sequence". It matches the Rfam family "Manganese Mn2+ riboswitch aptamer (yybP-ykoY)". From Rfam's summary of the family: This RNA was originally discovered in E. coli during a large scale screen and was named SraF. The family was later found to exist upstream of related families of protein genes in many bacteria, including the the yybP and ykoK genes in B. subtilis. The specific functions of these proteins are unknown, but this structured RNA element may be involved in their genetic regulation as a riboswitch. Lineage: Bacteria; Pseudomonadati; Pseudomonadota; Gammaproteobacteria; Enterobacterales; Enterobacteriaceae. The record is from Rfam by way of RNAcentral.
GCGCUCGUCGUUGGGGAGUAGCCGAUUUCCACACCGGAGAUGUACGCGUCAACAUACUCGUUGCAAAACGUGGCGCGUACGGACUGUCACUGACAGUCAGGCGAGACCAUAGACACACUGCCGCAUUACGCCUGAGCGGGCGUAUAUUUACUGGGGGCAGCGGUGUGUCGUAUGGAUAUUUCCCCGGUCU